GCCUGCUUAGCCCAGAGGUUAGAGUACCGCACUUGUAAUGCGAUGGUCAUCGGUUCGACUUCGAUAGCUGGCU
Molecule: transfer RNA, 73 nt
Filed under: Isoetes wormaldii
Lineage: Eukaryota; Viridiplantae; Streptophyta; Lycopodiopsida; Isoetales; Isoetaceae
Description: tRNA-Thr
Rfam family: tRNA
About the family: Transfer RNA (tRNA) molecules are approximately 80 nucleotides in length.
Source: RNAcentral